This 1333-nucleotide long non-coding RNA is filed under the name Volvox carteri. RNAcentral describes it as "long non-coding RNA (VCAR_LNC002911)". Lineage: Eukaryota; Viridiplantae; Chlorophyta; Chlorophyceae; Chlamydomonadales; Volvocaceae. The record is from RNAcentral.
UGGGGAGGAGUCCAGCUCGGAGGACCCGGGCAAAUAUAGCGAAGCUAGCAGCAGCAGCAGUGGCAGUGGCAGCAGCGACAGUGGUGGAAGUGAGCAGUAACAUGGCAGCAGUGAUGAGCGCUUGGGGGUGCACACACCAGGUCGGCCCCAGGCAGGAUGGGACAGACCAAUCCCAAUAGGUGCCGGUACAUGUCAUGCAUCGGGGGUUUCAUCCGUAGGAGUAGGCAUGAACUCUGCAAGUGGUGGUGAGACUCCUUGGCGAGCACUUGCUGUAUGGGGGGUGACAUGAACGCUGUUUUCGAGGACGAUGGUUGAGAUGAAUGCAUCAGGCUGUCAGGCUGGCUGGUUGGCGUUGUGAGUCCAAAGCGCCUUGGUCCACAAGCACACUGAGACUUAAGCUACUUUGACAAGGGGUGUGCGUCCAUUUUGAGGCUUGCCGCAAGUAUUCACCAAUCGUUAAUUUAACAUGCAGUAAGCGUCACAUCGCAGAGUAAUAUCUGCCUGUGUAACCCGUAAUCACUGGGUCUUCACCCGUAAUUUUGCGUGUAAUUGGUUACAUGCGCCCGUAAUUCACCUCCAGCACCGCGUAAAAUCCACCCGUAAUCACUGGGUCUUCACCCGUAAUUUUGCGUGUAAUUGGUUACAUGCGCCCGUAAUUCACCUCCAGCACCGCGUAAAAUCCACCCGUAAUCACUGGGUCUUCACCCGUAAGUUUGCGUGUAAUUGGUUACAUGCGCCCGUAAUUCACCUCCAGCACCGCGUAAAAUCCACCUGUAAUCACUGGGUCUUCACCCGUAAUUUCGCGUGUAAUUGGUUACAUGCGCCCGUAAUUCACCUCCAGCACUGCGUAAAAUCCACCCGUAAUCACUGGGUCUUCACCCGUAAUUUUGCGUGUAAUUGGUUACAUGCGCCCGUAAUUAACCUCCAGCACCACGUAAAAUCCACCUGUAAUCACUGGGUCUUCACCCCUAAUUUUGCGUGUAAUUGGUUACAUGCGCCCGUAAUUCACCUCCAGCACCGCGUAAAAUCCACCCGUAAUCACUGGGUCUUCACCCGUAAUUUUGCGUGUAAUUGGUUACAUGCGCCCGUAAUUAACCUCCAGCACCGCGUAAAAUCCACCCGUAAUCACUGGGUCUUCACCCGUAAAUGUUCACCUGUAUCCUUGUGCUCAAAUUACGGGACCCGUAACACGUUACGGGUCCGUAACACUGUAUCCUUGUGCUCAAAUUACGGGACCCGUAACACGUUACGGACCCGUAAUUUCUGUCAAAUUACGGGUGGAUUGACCCAAAAUUACGGGUAAAAUGACCCCCCUUUUCCCAGAGUGUGGAAC